CUCCAACGAGCGCAACCCUGACCCAGCAACGCCGCGUGAAGGAUGAAGUCCUUCGGGAUGUAAACUUCGAAAGAAUGGAAAGAAUCAAUGACGGUACCAUUUAUAAGCCCCGGCUAACUCCGUGCCAGCAGCCGCGGUAAUACGGAGGGGGCAAGCGUUGUUCGGAUUUACUGGGCGUAAAGCGCAUGUAGGCGGUUUAAUAAGUUACUUGUGAAAUCUCUGAGCUUAACUCAGAACGGCCAAGUAAUACUGUUGAACUAGAGUGCAGAAGGGGCAACUGGAAUUCUUGGUGUAGCGGUGAAAUGCGUAGAUAUCAAGAGGAACACCUGAGGCGAAGGCGGGUUGCUGGGCUGACACUGACGCUGAGAUGCGAAAGCUAGGGGAGCAAACAGGAUUAGAA
This 400-nucleotide ribosomal RNA is filed under the name uncultured bacterium. Its description in RNAcentral is "bacterial SSU rRNA". It matches the Rfam family "Bacterial small subunit ribosomal RNA", at positions 363 to 783 of the family's 1533-position model. The record is from RNAcentral.